ACGCUGGCGGCGUGCCUAACACAUGCAAGUCGAACGGAGAUUAUUGAUGAAGCUUGCGAUUUAAUAAUCUUAGUGGCGGACGGGUGAGUAACGCGUGGGUAACCUGCCCAUAAGAGGGGGAUAACAGCUGGAAACGGCUGCUAAUACCGCAUACGCUUUCCGGGACACAAGUGCCGGAAAGGAAAGAUGGCCUCUACAUGAAAGCUAUCACUUAUGGAUGGACCCGCGUCUGAUUAGCUAGUUGGUGGGGUAGAAGCCUACCAAGGCGACGAUCAGUAGCCGACCUGAGAGGGUGAUCGGCCACACUGGAACUGAGACACGGUCCAGACUCCUACGGGAGGCAGCAGUGGGGAAUAUUGGACAAUGGGGGCAACCCUGAUCCAGCCAUGCCGCGUGUGUGAAGAAGGCCUUCGGGUUGUAAAGCACUUUAAGCUGGGAGGAAGGCUCGGAAGUUAAUACCUUUCGGGAUUGACGUUACCAGCAGAAUAAGCACCGGCAAACUUCGUG
Molecule: ribosomal RNA, 507 nt
Filed under: uncultured bacterium
Lineage: Bacteria
Description: bacterial SSU rRNA
Rfam family: Bacterial small subunit ribosomal RNA
Source: RNAcentral